GUUUGGGAAACAAGACGUCCUUUCUUAACAAAAGACUCAAUCUACAAAGGCCACAAAACAAAAAUUGAUUAAAGUUGAACCGUAGUAUGAAAGUUUACUUUGGUGUAUCAAAUAGCCCGGUAAGCUCUACGUAGCAGCUCAUCUGUAACGGGGGCCAUGGGGCGUCACUGGGCGCAACUGGGACUGCAUGGACAGCUGAACUCCAUGAUUUUGACUAGAGGUGACAGCUGAAAAGCACCAGAAACCCUUGGAAUUUCAGAUCUAUAUAUUACUAUAAAGGAAGAAAAUAAAGUUCCGCUAGUAGAAGUUUGGCAUGUACUUACCAACAGCAUGGCGGGAUGUCUGCAGUGAAAUGUUCCCAGCCCUGUGACCUCCUGCUGCAGGAAAAGAUCAAUAUUAUAAAGAGGUCGAGUGACUCCGUGAAUUAGUCUCCUGCGUUUUCACUCCUGGAAGCUGCGGAUCUAAUCCUGUUUGGAGGUUGGCUUUCUGUCUGCUCCUUGCAGAAGAAAAGAGGGAAACACAGCCUCCCAUUGUCCGUGCUGCCCGCAGCGGUGCCAGGCGGCCCUUCGCGUGCAGCUGCCUCUGUAAUGCCGAGAGGAUUUCCCCCCCUCUGCCUCUGAUUACUGUGACCACAGUAAAACGUCUAGACAAAACGGAUGAAAUCAUCACCUUUUGAAAGAUCUAAUUACAUCAUAUGCUUUAAAUUCCCAAAUUCAUCUCGCCGGCGGAGUCGCCUUUCAUAUCUCCCCGUUCUGGGGCGAAACAGCAGUGAGCACAUGGUGGGGAGGAGAGCUCCUCGACGAUGGGCAGGUAGGUGCUUAGCCAUUCACCAGCCAUCAGCCCUGCCCACGCUUGUCCUACCCCACCAGACUCUCCCUGCCGAGUGCAGAGGUGACGAUGUGGGGCCAUCGAUUAGGGUGACCUCUCCUCAUCUCCUCUUCCCUCCUCAAACACUUAGCAGAGCACUGAGGGAGUCGAGCAGGAGGGCUCGGACCUCCUCUGCCUGCCCUGGGCUCACAGAGGGCCAAGUCGUUCUGAUGUGGAUGUCUACUUUACAGGUCUGAAUAUUCAGCUGCCAUAGAAAUGCUCUUUAGCUGACCCUAAAUUUGUACCAUAGCGGUCCUUGGUGGCUAGACAGUUAAUGCCAGAGGUGUGGUCCCUCGGGCUGACUUUUAUUUAUGUUUCAGACCGACUUCUUUUCUUUAAAGUGUGCACUUGUAAAAUCCAUUUUCCUUUUCCACUCCUCCUGAUUGUGCUAUAAUUUUUAUUCUUGCUUCAUCAGCAGCCCUGAGAUUUACAAUUAAGUGCAAAAAAAAAAAAAAA
Lagopus muta (rock ptarmigan) is the source of this 1323-nucleotide long non-coding RNA. RefSeq lists it as uncharacterized. The record is from RefSeq and is a predicted model, not a curated record. The transcript has 5 exons. NCBI's taxonomy places the organism in Eukaryota, Metazoa, Chordata, Aves, Galliformes, Phasianidae.